ACAGAACCUCACCCCUCAGCGGGCAGUCAACUUUGCCCACACUCAGCUCUGCUCAGCUCAUAUUCCUCGAGUGGAGGGAAGAGGUGGAGGGUGGAGAUCUGGCAGAGUGAAAAAGUCCAGGGGCCUGCCCAAUGCCCACCUGAGGCUCAUACUCCUUCCUAAACCUGGGUUUCAAGGAACCACAAGAUAACAAGACACACAAGAAACCUCCAAUCUACUUUAGAUAGAAGAAAAUGGUCCCAGGCUGGACCUCAUCAAACCUUCACCCUACACAGCCUUCGACUGUAAAGGAAACCAAAAAGAUGUGCCGCCGAGAGCAUCACUGCCCUAAGGGCAGGUCCAAAAGGAUUCAAGCUAGUCCUAAUAAGCAGAAGAGCUCUCGGAAGGCCUCUUCUAGAAGCCGGUUGUCAUCUUCACUGAGAUUUGGGCAAACUUCUCAUAGACCUAGCAGGGUUCUUCGAGCCAGGAGGAGAGAGGCUCUUCCACCACCUUUCCAGAUCAACCUUAAGGGACUCACCAAGAUCAUCUCCCUGCUGCAGAUUGCCUAAAGAAGGAGGGGAUGAGGCCAAGAACCAAAUGAAGUUGUCAUUAAAAUGCCUCCACUAUCCAAUAACAGUGUCAGCAGUAACUGUGCAGCAAUUCCAGCCACUGACUGAUGAAAGCAAAACCAGAAAAGAUGUGACCUAUAAUAAAAGCUGCUUCAACCUCC
Molecule: long non-coding RNA, 709 nt
Organism: Monodelphis domestica (gray short-tailed opossum)
Lineage: Eukaryota; Metazoa; Chordata; Mammalia; Didelphimorphia; Didelphidae
Source: RefSeq, a predicted model, not a curated record